GACGGGUAUCCGGCCUGAGAGGGUGAUCGGACACACUGGAACUGAGACACGGUCCAGACUCCUACGGGAGGCAGCAGUAGGGAAUAUUGCUCAAUGGGGGAAACCCUGAAGCAGCAACGCCGCGUGGAGGAUGAAGGUUUUCGGAUUGUAAACUCCUUUUGUGAGAGAAGAUAAUGACGGUAUCUCACGAAUAAGCACCGGCUAACUCCGUGCCAGCAGCCGCGGUAAUACGGAGGGUGCAAGCGUUACUCGGAAUCACUGGGCGUAAAGAGUGCGCAGGCGGAUUAAUAAGUCAGAUGUGAAAUCCUAUGGCUUAACCAUAGAACUGCAUUUGAAACUAUUAGUCUA
RNAcentral lists this ribosomal RNA (348 nucleotides) under uncultured Helicobacter sp. RNAcentral describes it as "bacterial SSU rRNA". It matches the Rfam family "Bacterial small subunit ribosomal RNA", at positions 278 to 643 of the family's 1533-position model. Lineage: Bacteria; Pseudomonadati; Campylobacterota; Epsilonproteobacteria; Campylobacterales; Helicobacteraceae. The record is from RNAcentral.